UUGAAAGGGAAACGAUUGAAGUCAGUCAUACCAACGGGAAAUCAACCUUUUGAGCUUGGUCUCGUGGGUUUUGGAGAGUUUCAAAGCCUUCGGAUUCGCGGGAUUGGGAUCUCUUGGUGUACUUUUUCGUACGGUUAGUCAACAUCGGUUUUGAAUGUCAUAAAAUGACUGGAGGAAUAUAGCUUCGAUCUCGUAUUGAAGUGUUAUAGCCUUUGGUAGAUGUGAUGUUUGAGACCGAGGAUUGCAACGGAUACCCUUCAGGGCUAUUCGUCUGAUCUCUGAUACGUUGCCUUGAUGUUGAAAGCUUGCUUAUGAUGUUAGGGUAUUACGGUCAAAAGGUUAGAACGAAUUACAUUCGUUAAGGAUGUUGACGUAA
RNAcentral lists this ribosomal RNA (376 nucleotides) under uncultured Glomeromycotina. RNAcentral describes it as "eukaryotic LSU rRNA". Lineage: Eukaryota; Fungi; Glomeromycota. The record is from RNAcentral.